RNAcentral lists this long non-coding RNA (451 nucleotides) under Malus domestica (apple). Its description in RNAcentral is "long non-coding RNA (MDOM_LNC019842)". The record is from RNAcentral. Lineage: Eukaryota; Viridiplantae; Streptophyta; Magnoliopsida; Rosales; Rosaceae.
GCACACCUCCGUAUCUUUUUUUUAAAUCCUUUUGUCUUUGGUCUGAAUAACCAAAACUAGGAUAUUUGUUGAAUGAUUUGAAACUUAUCAUUUAUUCAACAGUAGCUCGUUAACAUUAUAUUCGGGCGUGUAGGGCAUGAGUACUGUACCAUUGCAAUAGUGUGAUAUAAUAUUGUGCUAAAUGAGUUUACCAAGAAAGGAGUGCUCAUUUACUUAAUCUAUUGUACUUCUGCAAACAUGAAAUUUUCCUGAAACAAACGAGACAAGAACACGUGUACAAAAUAAUGUUUGUAUUUGAUGAUUUAGGGGUUACAAUCUCUCUCAAAUUUGAUCAUCUGAUUCAAUCUCCGUAAGGUGUGUAUUUGUGGAUGUGCGAUUGAUCCAAGGGCCGUCGAGGCUUGAUAUUGGAUGAACGGUUGAAAGUUUCUUCAAGGGCCGUUGAGGCUUGAUC